CUAAUAAUCCUGCUAUUGUCCU
This 22-nucleotide non-coding RNA is filed under the name Arabidopsis thaliana (thale cress). Lineage: Eukaryota; Viridiplantae; Streptophyta; Magnoliopsida; Brassicales; Brassicaceae. The record is from RNAcentral.